UACAGGGGGUGCAAACGUUGCUCGGAAUUAUUGGGCGUAAAGCGCGCGUAGGCGGCCACUUAAGUCGGAUGUGAAAGCCCCUGGCUCAACUGGGGAAGUGCACCCGAAACUGAAUGGCUUGAAUGCAAAAGAGGGUCGCGGAAUUCCCGGUGUAGAGGUGAAAUUCGUAGAUAUCGGGAGGAACACCGGUUGCGAAGGCGGCGACCUGGGUUGACAUUGACGCUGAGGCGCGAAAGCGUGGGGAGCAAACAGG
RNAcentral lists this ribosomal RNA (253 nucleotides) under uncultured bacterium. Its description in RNAcentral is "partial 16S ribosomal RNA". It matches the Rfam family "Bacterial small subunit ribosomal RNA", at positions 524 to 776 of the family's 1533-position model. The record is from RNAcentral.